GAUCCUGGCUCAGGACGAACGCUGGCGGCGUGCCUAAUACAUGCAAGUAGAACGCUGAAGGAGGAGCUUGCUUCUCUGGAUGAGUUGCGAACGGGGUGAGUAACGCGUAGGUAACCUGCCUGGUAGCGGGGGGAUAACUAUUGGAAACGAUAGCUAAUACCGCAUAAUAGUAGUUGUUGCAUGACAAACUGUUUGAAAGGUUGCAAUUGCAUCACUACCAGAUGGACCUGCGUUG
This 235-nucleotide ribosomal RNA is filed under the name uncultured bacterium. RNAcentral's name for it is "partial 16S ribosomal RNA". It matches the Rfam family "Bacterial small subunit ribosomal RNA", at positions 15 to 238 of the family's 1533-position model. The record is from RNAcentral.